GAACUUCCAUGACAAUACGUUGCUUUGUGUUGUUGUUGAAGGUGUGUUGUUGUUGAACCAUUAGGGGUUUAUUGAACAUGCAGAACUUCCAUGACAAUACGUUGCUUUGUGUUGUUGUUGAAGGUGUGUUGUUGUUGAACCAUUAGGGGUUUAUUGAACAUGCAGAACUUCCAUGACAAUACGUUGCUUUGUGUUGUUGUUGAAGGUGUGUUGUUGUUGAACCAUUAGGGGUUUAUUGAACAUGUUGGAUGACAUGUUUUUGUUGUUCUUGCCGUAAACACCAAAGAAUCAUAAGAAUAUCACAGUGUCUUGAGUUUCAAGCAGAAAGAACAUAAUCUGUUGUGUAAGCGAUAACAAAGACUACCAAGAUGUACGUUCCUGUACAUUUGUACGCGUUCAAAUCUGGCUAGAUGGCUAACUGUUCUAUUUUAUUUUGAUACUAAAGACAGGGUGCUUGUGAAAAUGCGUUACUGCGUUUUAUACUCUGAUCACGAUCGGUAGACUGUAGUUGAAUAGUUGUGUUGAUGUGCCUACUGUAGACCAAAAAUAGCUUUUCUAAAGAAAUUCAGCAAAACAGAAAAAAUAAAUCUGACACGUAGUAGCUGGGAUGUAAAACUAUAGCAUGUUAUUACAUGAAUAAGAUUUUAAAUGUUGCAUUGUUCCUCUGCUUAAAAGUAAUACCCAAUAUCUAUUAGUUAUUUUUCUCUACAUACUCUCAGCUAAUUGAUUUAGGCCUUUCCAAUACGCAUUUGAUUUGGUUUGAUUCAUAUGUUUGUCUUUGUUUGAUCCGUUCGUCUGCUAUUCCAGUUUUCAGUAAUUGAUUUCUUCCUGCCAUAUUGUUGAUUUCAAAAGCUUUUAUUCUCUAAUAAACAAAAUGCACUGGAUUGGUGGAAAACUGAUACUCAACUGAAGUGCCAUGCACAAUUGAUCAAUUGGCCUGACUAAUAUUCAAAAGACAAAUGUCUCAAAAAGUUUUUCAAACAUAUAGUGGAAGAUCCAUAGCGAAUUUAUACCGUUUUUUUUUUCAUACUUUGAGAUGGACCAAGAUGCUAGUUGCUUUUGCACAUAUUUGUUUAUUGGUUUUGCAAUGUGUUGAUGCCAUUGAGUAAAAGAUUAGGAAGAUUAAAUUUACCGCUGCCCAUAACAACCAAUCCAAGUAACGCAAAGAGGCCUAAAUCUGAUUUAAAGGCCUUUAAAAUAAAAACAAAUGUUCCACAAUACGAUAUUAGUACAUUUUGAUGGCUACCCUAGAGCCUGCUACAGAUACAUUCUUCCCAGAGAGCAUGAAGCCCAAUAGCCAGCAGACAUUUGAUGAAUAAUCACUGCAAAAACAACAAUACAGUGUAAUAAUAUUCACAUGAAUUGAGUUGUAUUAACAUCUUAAAGAUGUGGACCAAAUUUCUUAUCAGUUGGUGGCAUACGUGAUAUCGAUUACUACAUGAUAUAUUUUCUGUCAUAUUAAUUGUUCAUAUCAAAGAAGAAUGUAACAACCCCUUGGGAUUUUUUUUGUGGUUGUUAAUAUUUCACGUAUUGAUGAGGUAUGGCCUUUUGAAGCUUGUUUUCGAGCUGGAAGUUCGAAAUAGGAUCCGAUCCGUAACUCGUGUCAUGCUUCUUUAGUGUAGUAGUGUCAUAACGUCAGCGUCUCCCAUAGGACAUUGUAAGAUCCCCCUCAGUGAUAAAUCAGACAUUCAGUGUGCACUCGAAGUGUAGGUUUUUUAAACAGACAGUCAAGCUUUUUUGGAAAAAAAUGCACCUGCAGUCAAAUGUGAGGGGCAUUUAUAUAUACACAUGUAUUUAGUUAAGAAUAUUUUGUUUUUAGGUUUUGUUGCCUGCUUUGGCUUGCGAUUUCUUUAUCUUCCUGAUCAAAUACUCCUUAUAUAUUAAAAUAAUGAACUUGGCAGAAGUGGAGCUGUUGUAGUACAGGUAGUUAACAUCACAAUUAAGGAACCCUGCUGCAGUAAUGUUGUUUUGUCAGUUUUGUUUUCUUUUAUGUGUGCUCCUAGUUGGUUUUUAUUUUUAUUACUGUUAUGAAACAACCUUGUUUGAAUUGUAUGACUGCUGUUUUGAAAUAGGUGAUACGUAAAAAAAGAAAAAAAAAUGUAAUGUAUGUACAAGGAAGUUUUAUAAUUUGACUUGUCAAACACUGGACUGAGUUUUCCAACAUUUCCAAGUUGAGAGCUAUUAUAUGAGAGACAUUAACCGACUGCACAGAAUAAAGCCUUAUCACACCCAUUAACUGACAGAUGAAGCAUGUCCACACUGCUGGAGAAGGAAUAGUGACACCAUUUUUUUUAAUGGAAAUUGCUAAUUAUAUUUGCACCAUUUUAAUUAAGUUCAAUAAGGUGCUGAAUAUAUCUGCUAAAUUGUUGCAUUUUGUCAGGCUUAUUCAAAUUUGUCCGUCAUUAUUAUACAAUAACAAUUUCAAAAUUCUCUGUUCUAACGAAAGACUGUUCUAAUAAGUAUAUGCUGAAAUAUCAAAAGGGAUACCACUUAAUAGCAAUUCAAUAAUCAAACUAAACCACUCAGUAUAUGUCGUCUUAAUGUUAAAGUCUUUUGCAGAGUCAACUACCACUUAUCAAACCAGAAAAGAGAUUUGCACUAAUCAUAUUUAGGUCUUUGUUGAUGGAAAGCAAUACAACACAGAACAUUUGACACAUUCUUCAAGCCACAGUAUUUGAAAUAAAAGCGCUGUCUGUGUACAGGUGUAAUGCUGUGUAAAAGGUUAUGUUUUAAACGUUUUUUUUUAUUAAAAAAAAAAAGAUUUUUGUUUAAAGGUACAGAAUGGAAACCUGUUGUCUUUGAGACACAUUAUGAACUUGGACACGCACAUAUUGUUGUUUAGAGUUGACAUGUUUGACCAAUCAGACGUUCUGUUUCCUCUUGUGAUUGUUUUGGACUAAAUGAAAUUGCUCUUACAAGCCCUAAGUGAGGGACAGGAAGGAGUUGAGAGUCACAAGAUGUCCCAUAAACAUGCACUCAUUGUAAAAUGUCCUCAUCAGAAAAAGAUGGUGGUAACGGAACCAAAGGUAAUAAAAGUUUAUGUUAUGUAGACAAUAUUUUCUUUCAAAUGAUGCCAACAUAACACAUUAAACUUCCUCCAUGUUAAAACAUUCAAUUUCUUCACUGAUUUACUUAUUUUUCUGUUUUAAAACACUCAUAUGUAAAGAUCUGAGGUCAGGUCGGAGUACAUCUUUCUGGGACAUUAUUGAUAACAUUUUUGAAAAUGGGAGAAAAAAAAGACUACAACAUUUCUGUAGAAAAACACUGAUGGAUGGGAAAUACCUCUUUCCCUGUCAAUUUUAACAUCAGUUUAGUCAUCCAACAAAUCAAAGUCCACCCAAACAUAUUAGAAUUCAUAAUUAUCCGUAAGGAAAUAGACAUCAAGAGUAGUGGGGUGAAAUAUUGUUGAAGUCGAAAUGUUCUCUAUUGAUAAUUAUAAACCAUCAAUCAUUUAUGAUAGCAAUCAUGAUAAUUAUAAUUUUUGGUAUCUGGGAAUAGUAGCUUUCCUGUUAUAACCGCUUUGUGGUGUUAUUGAAAGAUGUUGCAGUUUGUCUAAAUAUGAAGCAUAAGUAUGUGCCUUCUUGUAAUCUCCUUGGUGAGCUUGUUAUUAUUGAGAAGCUGAAGCCAGCCAAUAGUGUUUGCACUAAAGCCAAAUUGCUUUUGUGAUGUAGGCUAUUUAAGCAAGCUUGUUGCAUCACUUUAACCGUACAGUAUGCAUGAGGGUGAAAUUGGUAAGUUCUACGGCUAGCGCUCCCAUCUGUUGGUCUGUUAACUAGUGCAGCUUAGUGAAUACCCCGACUAUAUAUCAGCUUUGUACUGCGUUCCGUUUUUGAUUCCAUCUCAUUCAUUACUCUUCUAAUUUCUCAAGACGCAUGUUCCACAUGAAAUAACCUCUGUGGAAUAUCCAUACUCUAAAAGACAAAGCAAAUGACAUAAGAAAUCAAACACGGCUCUCCUUUUUCUUUUUCAUAUGCCACAGCUGAAGAGCUGCAUUACUAGUAGUAAGAGAUAUUCAACCAUUCUCUCAACCCACGGGGAUGCAUGAGUACAAGAGGCUACUUCGAGACUUGGUCAACUUUAUUUUGAUUGUUUAAAAAAAAAAAGUUUGUGUUUCUAAGUUAUUUUAGUCAGUUUGAAAUCAUAAGAGAAAUAAAUAGCUACAUGCUUUGAGUCUUACAAAUGCACCUUUAUUCAUGUCAGUCUGAGUGGAAAAGGCUGGUUAUGUAAUAUGUCUGAUUUAGCACCUUACUACACAGCAUGUUUUCACUAUAUGCCAGUUUUGCUACUCUUCCGUGCAUAUGAUUUCCAAAACAAACCUUAUAUAUUUUGUGAAAAUGUUUAAAGGGAUGUGCCAAAGUUAGGAGGCGAUCUCCCGAGUGUUUAAAGCUUAUAAUCUUUUUCUUUCUUCCUCCUUCAGUUAUCACAAUGGUAUGUCAGACCUUUCCUAUCAAUGUGUGAAAGCAAGUUAUUUCAGCAAACAGUAUCAUUACCUGCCAUUUUACAGUAAGCCCUGUAUGUCACGUAUAUUUACCAGUGAUGUGUAUUUGUUAUUAUAAAGAAAAAUAGCCGUAAAGCUUCAUUAUGUUACAUAAUAUUGUGACUUUUUUCGAAAAACUGUGAAGACUUAUCUUGCAUAUACUUUAUACAGAAGUAUUAAGCCUUAAUACAAAAUACUAAAAAAAAGUGUGGAAGAAUAAACUGAUUGUCGCUAAGUAAGGAUGAUUUUUUGUAAAUGUUACCAGCACUUUUUUUGUAAUUUUCACUCUCUGAGGUAUUGUACAAGUUCACGCUGUUUGUGAAGUUUGAUUAUGAAGGAAUAAAAAACUAGUACUUUCCUGUACUUCACAGAAA
Molecule: long non-coding RNA, 4851 nt
Organism: Oncorhynchus nerka (sockeye salmon)
Lineage: Eukaryota; Metazoa; Chordata; Actinopteri; Salmoniformes; Salmonidae
Exons: 2
Source: RefSeq, a predicted model, not a curated record